GAAGGUAAAAAAAUGUAACAAGGUCUCCGUUGGUGAACCAGCGGAGGGAUCAUUACCGAGUUUACAACUCCCAAACCCAAUGUGAACGUUACCAAACUGUUGCCUCGGCGGGGUCACGCCCCGGGUGCGUCGCAGCCCCGGAACCAGGCGCCCGCCGGAGGAACCAACCAAACUCUUUCUGUAGUCCCCUCGCGGACGUAUUUCUUACAGCUCUGAGCAAAAAUUCAAAAUGAAUCAAAACUUUCAACAACGGAUCUCUUGGUUCUGGCAUCGAUGAAGAACGCAGCGAAAUGCGAUAAGUAAUGUGAAUUGCAGAAUUCAGUGAAUCAUCGAAUCUUUGAACGCACAUUGCGCCCGCCAGUAUUCUGGCGGGCAUGCCUGUCCGAGCGUCAUUUCAACCCUCGAACCCCUCCGGGGGAUCGGCGUUGGGGAUCGGGACCCCUCACACGGGUGCCGGCCCCGAAAUACAGUGGCGGUCUCGCCGCAGCCUCUCCUGCGCAGUAGUUUGCACAACUCGCACCGGGAGCGCGGCGCGUCCACGUCCGUAAAACACCCAACUUUCUGAAAUGUUGACCUCGGAUCAGGUAGGAAUACCCGCUGAACUUAAGCAUAUCAUAG
This 618-nucleotide ribosomal RNA is filed under the name Trichoderma asperellum. Its description in RNAcentral is "eukaryotic LSU rRNA". The stretch from base 239 to 392 matches the Rfam family "5.8S ribosomal RNA". Lineage: Eukaryota; Fungi; Ascomycota; Sordariomycetes; Hypocreales; Hypocreaceae. The record is from RNAcentral.